Molecule: long non-coding RNA, 354 nt
Organism: Ornithodoros turicata
Lineage: Eukaryota; Metazoa; Arthropoda; Arachnida; Ixodida; Argasidae
Exons: 3
Source: RefSeq, a predicted model, not a curated record
GCAGCGAUCGUGGCAACUUCUUGCAAUUACGGUCGUACCAACCGUACUGGCAAGGUUACAGGGCCUAAACUUAUACAGGUUUCGUCAUGAGGGCUGCCCAGUGAAUAAUCUGUGCAGUGUGAUACGGCUGGGUGUACAGGUUACUUCACAGCUGCCUCGACAUACUCAAGAAAUGGGUGCAGAACCUGCGUAAUGCCCACAAACUUUGACUACCACAGCAUCUCCAGAAAGUAAAGGGAUAUGUGUCACAUGGGAUUUUUAAAGGCAUUCACAGUAUAUAAUACCUUGUAUGAACUGUUGUAGAUCUAAGCAGCUUCUACAGUACACUCUCAGAAAUUAAAACUUGUCAGGGAA